Molecule: long non-coding RNA, 759 nt
Filed under: Anas platyrhynchos platyrhynchos (common mallard)
Lineage: Eukaryota; Metazoa; Chordata; Aves; Anseriformes; Anatidae
Description: lncRNA (ENSAPLG00000020131.1)
Source: RNAcentral
UGAUUUCAUCAUUACUAUUAAGAAGGUAUGGGUCUUAUACUGAUCUGGCAUUGCAAGGUCUCAGGAUCAGUAUUGGCUUCCCUUGCCUCCAGCUGAGUUAGCUUGUUUGCAAUUGGCAAGUGGCUGGGUGACUAGUGCCUCACCUCUUUCAGCAGCAGGUCUCCACCUCCAAGAAAAAUUUUAGGAUGCUGAUACCUUUGCUACAACCUUCCACUAUUUCUCUGUGUGAGGAAAACUGGUGUUAUCAACCUCAGGACCCAGAGACACAAUGGAGAGGCUGGGCAAAGAAGCGAACAAGACAGUCCCAUGGGAAGUGAAACAGAUACUGCAACCAGCUCCAUCAAGCAGCUCUAAGAAGUCAAGAGAUAAACACGUGGUCAGAAGUCACAGCAGAUUCACCUUUUUCACCAGGUGCAAUUCUGCAGUCAUACACAUAUCUGUAGUAUUUUUCCCUACCUAUCACCAGAUGAAUAGCUUCUGUAAAGAUGAAGAAUCUCCCUUUCAUGGAAAGAAUCACUGUUUUCUAUCACAAGGACACAAGAGGAGCCAAGAAUUUGGAUCAGAAAUUUCUUCUUGCAUCAUCUUUCACUGCAAUAACUAUUGGGGUAACAGGAUUCAGAAAGAAAUGUUUUGCUAGAGUGCUGAUCAAAGUAUUUGCACGUUACUAUCUCUGAGAGAACGCAGACAGGGCUUUUGAAACAGUAUUAAGUGUUGGAAAAGUUGGUUACACUAGCACAAAUAAAAUUUAAUAAUAUUGCA